Long non-coding RNA from Gallus gallus (chicken), 502 nucleotides. Lineage: Eukaryota; Metazoa; Chordata; Aves; Galliformes; Phasianidae. The record is from Ensembl.
AUGAAUGAAGAACGGAUUUCUGAUCUUACCUAAUCAUUUUGGCUGCAGUAAGAUGAAUUACUGAGGACAUCCAUUAAAAUGAUGAUUUGUAAUCCAGCUCUAGAGUUAUUGAAGUUUGGGGAACCAAAAGGCAAGAUCCUUACUUUCACCGAGUGGAGCAAGAAAUAAUGAAGUUCAAAAGGAAGCGUUGAAUUAUGAGCCUCCUUUCCCUUCCAUUUUUGUCCGGCCUAGCUGGGUGUCACUAGAGGUGACAUUACUUAUUCUCUGCCAAGGUCCAGCUUCACCAUGGAGCAGUGACAGCCAUAAAAAAAGAUGGCAUUGAGCAUUUAUGAAAGAAUGUUGCUCAUCAUUACUUGCUGAAUGUGUGACAGAGCUGGAGGGAGGAAGAACAACUGAGAUCUGAUUCUUACCCCUAGGCCUGUUCCUCUGAGCCUGCCCCUCCCAGGGUGCUGCUGAUCAGAAGUUGGAUUUGGGGCUGUUUUUCAAAAGUGUGCUGUCACCC